CCUACGGGUGGCUGCAGGAGGGAAUCUUUCACAAUGGGCGAAAGCCGGAUGGAGCAACGCCGCGUGCAGGAUGAAGGCCUUCGGGUUGUAAACUGCUUUUAUAAGCGAGAAAUAUGAUGGUAACUUAUGAAUAAGGAGCGGCGAACUACGUGCCAGCAGCCGCGGUCAUACGUAGGAUCCGAGCAUUAUCCGGAGUGACUGGGUGUAAAGAGUUGCGUAGGUGGCAUAAUAAGUAGCUAGUGAAAUCUGGUGGCUCAACCAUUCAGACUAUUAGCUAAACUGUUAAGCUCGAGGCCGUUAGGGGUAACUGGAAUUUCUAGUGUAGGGGUGAAAUCCGUAGAUAUUAGCAGGAACACCAAUCGCGUAGGCAGGUUACUGGGACGGUUCUGACACUCAGGCACGAAAGCGUAGGGAGCAAACCGGAUUAGAGACCCCUGUAGUC
This 442-nucleotide ribosomal RNA is filed under the name uncultured bacterium. RNAcentral's name for it is "partial 16S ribosomal RNA". It matches the Rfam family "Bacterial small subunit ribosomal RNA", at positions 338 to 795 of the family's 1533-position model. The record is from RNAcentral.